UCUUUCUCUCGCUCCUUCUCUCUGCGGUGACUUGCACUGCUGUUGUCAUCUGUCACCUGGCGCCUCUGUUUGGAUGCACGAAAAGCGCAUUAAGUUUCAUUGCAUUAUGCUCAGGUUACAUGCCAUACAAAGUCGGUCAAUAGCUUUGAGACAGUUGCAAAACGCUUUAAUAAACCACAAGACAGCAGAACAGCAAGAAAUUUGUUUAUUCCUUGAUGAACAGCAAGCAUUUCACUUAAGUUUCAGAUGCUGCAUUACUUUAACUGACCGGUUUAAUGACUCGAACUUAAUUUGCGCCCUCAGAAAUAAAAGGCAGACAACCAACACCCAUACAUUGACAUGCAAGCCAGCAAACAAGAACAACAACAACGACAGCAGUGGAAGGAACAGCAUAGCAGAUCAAGCCGGGGCUUAAAACAGCAAGUGAAAAAGAGAGCGAAGAAAGAGAGCAACAGCAGCAACGGAGCAGCAAAAGCGACAACCACAGCGACACGUCUGGCACAAGGGGCUUAUGGCUCGGAGAGUGGGCGGCGCAGGCUGCAGAAACAGAACAGAUAUGUCUGUAUAUGUGUGUGUGUGUGUGAAAUCGCCUAAAAAAGAAGCAAAGUAAAUUGGCCGAAUAAAGACGAGGCAAAAAACGGCAACCGAAAUACAAAACAAAAUGAUGCUCAAGUAACUCAUAUUCAUAUGAAUGUGUAUGUGUUUGUGUGUGUAUGUGCAGCAGAAGCAGCAGCAGCCGCAGCCACAACGUCGACGCUGGCAGAGCCAUCGCCAUUGCCAAUAUAAACGACGAUCGAAAGAUGCAAAAUGUUCAUUCCGUUGUCGUUUCGUUUCUGCAUGUAUGUACAAUACACAUACACAUACAUAUUUCGCUGGCCAAGAAUUCGAAUAUAAAAAGUCAACAAAAUAAUGAAGCAGACGAAAGCAACGGCGAUCACGCACACAUUGACAACAUCACACGCACGCACAUAUGAAUGUGUGUGUAUGUGUAUGCAGAAUUCAACGUUGUUGUUUUUUUCUGCAACGCUGCGUGCGUCGCCAUCGCUAUUGGACGACGACGUCGCUGCCGGAGAGUAUAAAAGCUUAAACUCGCUUCAUACUCGAGUUUAUUAAAACCAAAACUGUGCGAGUGUCAAGAUCUUCAGGAGUUGUCGAGAGUUGAUAGAUCUAUGAAAACAAAAUUAAGUGCAUAACUAAAUUCUUGUGAAAAAGGCGACGCCCCAAAAAAAGCAAGUGAAAGAAAUAAGAACAAAAGCAAAAAUAUUCCUUCAAUUAAAAAACCAUUGAUAACGUUAACGAGCACAAUAAAAGAGAAAUUUUAUAUACACAUAAACUAAGCGCACGCCUCACCGACGCCACGCGACGCGCGCCAACAUCAAAAUAGCAAAGCAAAGCAAAAAAAAAAAAUCGAAAGUGUUCGUGUUCUACUGACAUGGAUUACUUCUGCCGUAACAAAAACAUCGACGCAGCCGCAACAACUACAACACUACAGCUACAAAACUGAGAGAAACUAGCGUUAGUUUUGUCUAUGACAUGUACAUGUGUAUGUAUGUGUGUAGGUAAAUCAUACAAGCCAACUGUCAAAAUUGUGAACACGCUUCGGGAGCAGCAGCCGUCGGGCAUUGGAAUCGGAAUCGGAUUCGUAUGCUUGUGAUUAUCGUAACUGUAAACAGUUGCACACACAUGGUGAUAUACACAUCCCAUCAAUUUUACGUUCUAUUUGUUUGUUUAUAUUAAAACUAUAUUUCAAUAAAAACUGUUUUCUUUUCAAUAUAUCUGAUGAUAUUGCUAUUU
Drosophila sulfurigaster albostrigata is the source of this 1794-nucleotide long non-coding RNA. RefSeq lists it as uncharacterized. Lineage: Eukaryota; Metazoa; Arthropoda; Insecta; Diptera; Drosophilidae. The transcript is spliced from 2 exons. The record is from RefSeq and is a predicted model, not a curated record.